This 17132-nucleotide long non-coding RNA is filed under the name Citrus x clementina. RNAcentral describes it as "Citrus clementina (C. clementina) long non-coding RNA (CCLE_LNC004307)". Lineage: Eukaryota; Viridiplantae; Streptophyta; Magnoliopsida; Sapindales; Rutaceae. The record is from RNAcentral.
CAAGAUGCAUCAUGCAGUGCGACUCAACUUGAGAAUUCCUGGCCACAUUACCCGUAUGUCGAAUGAUCGCACAGUACAACCUUUAGAAGCUUGUAAUGAGUACACAACUGGGUGCAAGUAGUUUCGAAAUGAAUUUGCCUCAAAUGAUUUCUUGCUCACAUCCCUUGGGUUAUGAUAGAUGGAAAAUUCAUAUACGAUCCAGAGUCAGAGGUGUUGAUUCUCUUAUUAAGGUCAGCUGAUUUCUAUUAUCCACUCUGACAAUCUCCUAUUAGUGUUUUUUUUUUAAUUUUGCACUUCUGUAUAAUUGAAAUGCCACUCACUUGUUUCCUUCUUCACAGGUCAGAUAGUAUGUUGAGGCUAUUUGCUUUUUAUCGGUGUUUGUCAAGGUAAUUAGUACUGCCUCAUAGGGUUGAUUGCUCACAGAUGAAAUUAUAACUUUUAUCUUAAAAUUUAAUAGCAUACACAGAUAGACGAUUUUUAGUCUAAAGUUUUUUUAUUCACUUCAGUCAAAAUUUUAGAUUGCAGAUUAUUGUCAAGUAUUUCAUUACAAUUUUUUCAUUUUUUAUUUUAAACCAGAAUAUGAGUAUAACAUUUUGGAGCGUGCAUACUCUGAUGCAUGCAAUUAACUGUUUUUAAUCAUUGGAUUUUGUAAUUAAUGAUGGUAAGAUGUGUACUUAUUCUGUCUUCCAACAACCUUGCCCUCUUUCUUCGGUCGCAUAUCUAAUGAAUAUUUCUCUGUUUAGUUAAGGAUGAAUGCUUGGAGUGGGGUACUUGGUAACAUUUCUGCCUCAGAUGAAUCCCUGAAGAAAUGCCUACGGUUCCUGAGACCAAAUACAGGUCUGAUUCAAACAGCACCUUUCCCAGAAAAUAUGAUCCAAGGCAAAGUCAUGUUCUGAUAAUGUUUCCUUAAGUACAAAGUUGCAAGGAAACUUGAUUCAUUAACUACAGUUUUUUAUUUUUAGGACCUUGUAUCUGAAAGGUUCAGUGUAUUUUUUUUUUUUCAAAUUAUUUGUUCAGAUCUCAGAGGAGUAUAUGGUUUAGAUUACAAAACACUUAUGAUCAAUUUCAUUUUUUUUUUUUUAAUCUCAGGGAGAAGAAGUGGUCAGUUUCAAUCCGGAAUUGGAAUAUGGCAAUUUGGUUCAAGCACACACACCCGGUCACUUGGUCAGUGAACCUGAGCUUUAUGCAGUUUUUUCAACUUAGUGAUUUUUGGAACACAUAUUGGUGUAAGGAAAUCAAAAGAAAUUUAUGCAUAGUCAAAUUCUGAUAUUUGCUAUAUAUUAUACAUUCUAAAGUUUCUCCAGUUUGUUCUCAGAUUACCAUCAUUUUUUUGCCUUCACCCAAAAAAAAAAAAAAAAUCGAGUGGCUUUCCGGUGGAUAUUUAAUCGGAGGUAUGACUGGAUUUUUUUCACUUCUGUAAAUCUUGCAUUUUAAACUGGCAAAUUUAACUUUAAUUUUAAUACGACUUUGUUGGUGCCUUGUGCUCCAGAAACUAGAAAGAUGUGUAGUUUUCAGAUAAAGGGGCUUGUAAAUUCUCUAGUAAGAAUCCAAUAAUUUGCUUUUGCACGUUCAUUUUAUUUGUGGAUCCUUGCAUCUGAAUUUGAUCAAUCCAAAAGGAAUUGCUUUUAGACAGAAGAAGAAUUGCAGUACCUAGCCUAUGACAUAGUAUAUGGACCUGCAAACCUGUAACUAUUAGUUUGAGGUAAAAAAUUCAUGACCCUCACAUGUUAACUUCUUCUAGUUACUUUCAUGAAAAACACAUUUAAGAAAUUUGCAAUUUUUUGUUAGUUUCGUAUCCGAUGUUGUUUUCUGUUUUAGCAUUUGUAGAAUCUACUGUAUUAUAUUUUGGCAGUUGCAGUAUCUGAGGUAUGUUUUGCAUUUAACUUGCUUUAUUUGUUUUGCUUGUGACUUAAGAACACCAAUAUUUGCCAGAGAUUUAGAGAAGCAUAUCAAGCUGCUUGGCAAACUUGACAAACUUCAAGAUCCUCCAUUCUUCACAACGCAAAACUUGUGAGUACACCUAUGCCCGCAAUUAUUGUGAAAUGCUUGCAAUUUUGAUGCGCUGAAAUGGUUUGUUGAUGCAAAGGUUUAAACUUUUAAGAUUUACCCUGCAGGGUAGUUGGAUGCUGUAUACUCGAAAAGCGACCAACAUCAAGAACUAUGACUCCAAGACCGGGUUUGCAUUAAUUCAAUCAGCUGAAAUCAUGAUGCAAAUGACACUAUCAGCUGGACUUAGAGACCGGUCAGAUCAAUCAUCCAUUUUAUCAACAGUUAAUGUCAUGAUGGUGGCUAUUAGAGGAAACAAAGGAUGUGUUGGAAUCAAUGUGAACAAUGAGAAGAAUGAGAGGAGCUUUGAUUAUACGUAGGUUCAAUGAACUCAUGCUGGUAAGUGGUAAUUAAAGAAAUUUGUGCGCUUAGUAGCAUUUCAAUAUUUUCUGUUUGGGAUAUAGUUGAUGAGUUGAUACUCUGAUUAAGAAGCCUGAUUAUAGUAGCUGACUUUUUUUUUGUGGUUUGCUGUUGAUUUUUCUUUUGAUUAUUUUUUCAACAUUAGGUUGAUCUGUUGAAGAACAAGCUUGGGUUGAUUAUGCUUUAACUACAAGGAAGUGCCAGACUUGGAUGCAGGCGUUCAGCUUUUAAUGGGUAAGAACAAAUGUAUGCUUUAACCAUGUUUCUCACUUAUUACAAUGCACGCAUUGAAGGCAUCUGAGCUGAUCCUGAAAAAGUGAUGGAAAUACUUCUCUGUUUACAUAAAACAGGACAAGAGAUCUCUGAUCAUGCCUGAGAAUUAGUUGCAUUGAAAUUUCUACCAUUGCCAAAAAUGGAAUAAACUAGGAAUACAUUAGCUUAAGACUCAAUUUUGAGAAGGCAGUUUGUACAUGCAGCCUAAAAAAUCAUGUCCGUGUUGUAUACUUGUACGUUUCUUUGGGAAAUGAAAGAUUCUGUGUGUUCUAUUAUUUCAAGUUUGCUGAAAUCACAUUUGUUUUCUUAGAUGCUUUUGAGAAGGUAACAACAGCAAUUUCAAAAAUGCUGGGGUAAGAUGCAUCACGCAGUGCUACUCAACAUGAGAAUUCCGGCCGCAUUACCUGUAUGUUGAGUGAUCGCACAGUACAACCUUUAGAAGCUUGUAAGGAGUAGACAACUAGAUGCGAGUAGUUUCAAUAUGGAUUCGCAUCAAAUGAUCUCUUGCAAGUGAUUACUAUAACCUCUAUCCCAAAAUUCUUGGAACUGGUCAUACCAAUAAUGAAGUAUUGUGUAUGUUGAAGACAUAGCUCAAGGCCUUGCGAAAGCUUCGUCAGCCUUUGUAUUGGAAAACAGUUGGUUGUAGUUGCUUCUGAAUGAUAUUGUUAAUAGAUACUGUAAAAAUGAACUGUGCCACUCAUUUUCAGAGCCCUGUUAAGAUGUGUUGGUAAUGUGUUUGAAGGUUGUUUGAUUUAUGUUGUAUUCAGCUAUAAAUCAAAGAUUCAGAACAUGGUUAUGUUACUGGUUUCCAAAUCAAAAAAUUGCCUUGUGAUGUUAGUGUUCAUUGUUUUCACAGGAGAUCAGGUUCCCUGUUGAUGAAUCAAGAAGGCAAACGCAUCCAUGUCUUAAGUUCAAAUGUGUCUCUUCUAUUUUCUAUUACUGACUCCUUUAUUUUGAUUUCUUCAUUGUAAUGGAAUUGGUUUUUUAUUCCAAAUUAGUCAAAACCUCCUAGAGUCAUUAAGUUCUGUUAGCAUUUGAAGAUAGAACUAGAACUAAAUGAUUGACUGGAUUAAAUUCCGAUAAAGAAUUAAGUUAUAUAUUUAGAGAUAUUAUGUUUUUUUUUUUCAUUUGUUCAAUUUGGUUAGUGGUGAUUUCUUAAAGACUCAAUCCAUGUGCGUUUAUGCAUUUUUAUUUUGCCUUAAUUUCUGUUUCUUGGGGAGUUUAUACAGAUUCUUAUUUUAUGCUUCACAUGCCACAUGAAAGAUCGAAGCCUUUUGUGUGAUUAGAACUGACUUGCAUCACAGAAGUAGAUUGAUAGAGUAGAUAAUAGUAGAUUUCGCUUUAGUAUCGGAAAUUCCAUAAUUAUGCUUUUCUCUGCACUAUUUUCAAUAAAAUUAUAAAAAUCAAAACAAAAUUAUUACACAGUAAAGACUUUAGAGACAAGUACCCCCAAUAGGAUCAAGCAAAUAUGCUCUGCACAAAAUUAUUUCUUGUUCUUUUUCUUUUUGACAAUUUUAUUUGUGGUUUCAACUUUUAUGCUUUAUUGUCAUAUCUCGUUGAGGGCUCCGCUGCACCCAUUACAACUUACCCCCAUAUUGUCUUUUACUGACUAAACCGUUAGAUUUGAUGCUGAAUUUUAAUUAUACCAUCAAAUUUCGUUUAGCUCCUUAAACUCCAUUUUAUUUGUAAUUUCUUCAUAAAAUAUUCAAAGCUUCAUCAAGCUCCUAAUGGACCAUCAUGGCUAGGGGUGCGUUAGAGCCGAACUGAAAUAUGUUAGUUCAGUUCAGUUUGGUCAGUUUAAAUUGAAUGGUUUAGGAAAUAUAAACUGAUCAAUUUUAAUUUUGAAUUGAACUGAACCGAAAAUCAAUUGGUUCAGUAUUAGUAUUUUUGCAUAAAUAUAAAUUAUUAGCGAUUAUAAUUAAAUUGGACUAAAAAAAAUUCAAACUAAGGUGAAAAACAUCAAAUCUUAGAUAAUAUAAAAGAAAAAAUAUUAAAUUUUAUAAACCAAAAUGAACCGAAUUAUUUUUACUCAGUUUGGUUCAUAUUUGGUUCGUAAUUUUUUAAACCAAAUUGAUUUAUAUCCACACCCUAAUCAUGGCCCUCUAUCUUCAGUCAUUCACCCUUGAGUUUGAUGCCAAUUGUUGGGUUUCAAAUUAUUAUACACUCAAAUGAAACCCCUCAUAACCAAAAACUAACAGAAACAAUAAGAACACGAUGUUAAUAUCUUAAAUCAAUCACAAAAAAGCACUCAAAAUUAAUUGAUUAGGAGCAAUUAACAACAAAAGAUUUGAUGGUUCAAAAUCAUAAUGUGACCUAGUUCCAUCCAAGAAUCAUACUAAUUGCUUUACUAGUUGUCAAAUUGUUGUGCAAAUUUUAUUAAACUCGCAAGUGCACGAAUCUAUUGUAGAAUAGAUCAAUGGUGACGAGUGUCGAUCCCAUAAGGAGGUUGAUUUUUAAUUAUGUGUAGAAUUAAUGUUCUAUGAGGAUGGUUGGAUUUGUGGUGGAAGUGAUUUAGAUUAUACUAGAAUUUAAAUUGGAAUGGUAGAAUUAAAUUAAAGUGGAAACUAUUAUAAUUGAAGCGCUUGGGUAUUUGGAUCCGUAUCAACAUGCACCAUUGGCUAAAUAUUCCUUAUUAGUAUCAAUUAAAUCAUGAGGGGGGAAUCCACACCUCAUGAACUACACUCUAAUCAAUAUGGUGCUAAGGGCUUAUCGUGCCAAAUAAUAAUAACCUUAUACUAGGGAGUCGGUGAAACUAUGGUAAUAUCUAGACAAGAUUAUUACUAUUUGUCGACGAAAAGUCAAAACAUCCACAAAAAUUAGAGGGGAUGAGAAAGUAAAUUUACCAAUUAAAGCCCAUGGCACAUGUUGAGACUUCACUUUCUACCCAAGCUUGAAAGAAAAUUAGCUACUCAUAAUUAAACUAUGGAUAAAAUGAAAAUUUAUUAAAAUACAUAGAAAAUACAAGAUAGAAAAGAAAUUAUAGAAAAUGGAGCUCAAAAAUGAAUUCAGAGAUGCCAAAUUAGGGGGGAGAGACUCCCUUUUUAUAGAUAUUUGAUUAAAUCAUGGCCAUCGAAUUAAAACCAGUUUGGACACUCAGGAUUGUGCCACGUCAUCAAUCAACAGUACGCGGUUUGAACAGUGACACGGUUUGACCACGCGGUUUGAACAGUCAACCGGCUUGAAUAGUGACGCGGUUUGGUUGAAAAUAAUCCUAUUUAUAUGCAUGUACCGUACGCGCGAUUUUUGGUCUACUAACAUGCUGCAACGUCACCGAUCAACAAUGCGUAAGAAUUUUAUCCAAUAGAAUCGUGACACCUCAUUAGUCAAUGUCACAUUAACGUUCAAUGCCAUGUCAUCGUUCCGUAGGUGUGAAUAAUGUCGUGAACAGUAACAUAGACAGUAUCGUACGUGUAAAUAGUGUUGUGUAUGUGAACAGUGAUAUUUUUCCUUUUAUGCUCCUCCUACAGUUUUCGACUGUUCUAAGUUCAAAAGUGAUGUCCGUUUUGCCGUCUGAUCUCUCGUUUAUUGUGAAAAGACCAUGAUGCCUUUAAAAUAUAUAAAAUACUUAAUUAAAAUAAAACACACAUAAUUAAAUCACAAGAAGCUUAAAUACAUAAAAGUAGAAGUGUUAGUAAGACUUGAAAUGUAAAAUGACGAUUUUCUCCUUUAUAAAUAUACAUUUUCUAACACUCAACACAAAUACAAGAUCACAAGAUUGUUUAUCACUCGACAGAGAAAUUGUUUUUAGAAGAAAUACUCCUCAAUUUUUCUGUUAAUAGUUAUGAAUCAACACCCGCAUAAAGGCUAUUGAUUUACUUUUCCUUAUUUCCAACAUAGUCCAAACACUUUUCAUGUUACAGGCGUAGUGCACCUUCAGAAACUUUACAGCUCCUCUUAAAACCUCAAGCCUAUAGAGUGUAAUUUCGCACUAUAUGCUCAGUCUUCUCAUGAUGUUUCUGAUUUAUUUCUCGGACGAGUAACACUUUUAGCUGUCAUAAUACAAUGUAAUUGACUUUUAGCUGUCAUAAUUUUGAGAUCAUUACUUUUAAUUAAAUGAUCUCCUCUACAGCUUCUACCUAUGUAGUGUUUUAGACCUCUAUAGUUGAUCAAGCAUGUUCAAGGUGAAGGCUUGUUUUCCAAUCUAUAGUCCAAUUAUAGACUGGAAAUGGUUAGGCUUAAUGCACCUUCAAAAGCUUCACAACUUAUAUAGAAACCUUAAGCCUUAUAGAAUGCUACAAAUUUUAAAUCCACAUACUUAGUGCUCUUAUGAUUUGUUUGAUUUUUGCUUAGAUGAAGAGCACUUUAGCUAUAGACUACAUUGUAACUAAUUCAAAGCAUGCCUUAGCUACGAGAUCAUUCAUUCUAGCCAAAUGCCCCCUUUAGAGAUUCUGCUAUUGUUGUGUAUUCAGCCUCUAUAUUUGGCAAAGCAAUUACAUGUCGAAGGCUUGCUUGCUUUCCAGUUAACAGCGCAAUUACAUAGAUUACAGGUGUAACCAGGCAAAGAACUUAGUUAUUCUGCCAAGGUCUCCAACAUACUCCAAAUCCAUAUAACCGCCAGACUUCAAUCUUUAGACUCCAUAGAUCAAACCAUAACUUAGUGUGCCUUUCAAUCUCAGGUAACAUUUUACUGUUUUCCACGUCUUGCCAUGUACUUGCUGCUAACACUAACAAUUUGAGAAAUGUUAGGCAUCGUAAGCAGCCGACAACACUCUUCUUCAUUUCUUCAUUGUCAAUUUCCUUCUUGGAACAUUGCUCCAUUGAGAGUCUACUAUCAUUGCUCCAAUUAUUAUUAUUUUUGUUUUUUUAAAAAAAAAAAUUAACCCUACAAUAAGAGUAUAAGACUAAGCAACGGUCCUUUUUUUUCCCAUUCUUGAGCAUGAAGUAUUUGAGUAUGCAAUAAAAAUUGUUUAUUGAUAAUUAAAAGUUAGUAGUGGGUGGCUUUAGGUUUUGUUUACAAAAUUGACAACAAAUUGAGAUUUUUCAAAUUCAUAGGUAAGAAACUUUUCAUUUAUUCAUAGAUUUUCCGGUUUAAACUUUAAAGAAAACUUAAAAGAAAAAGAUGUAUCAUUAGACUUGUAAUUAAAAAAAUUUAAUAUUGUAUGAUCUGUUCGAUAUGCAUAAUUUAAAUAAACAUUAAUAUAGAUGUUAUAUAUCCUAAAACUUAAUUGACUUAAUUCUUACGGUGCAAGGAAGAGGUUUCCAAGUUUAAAUCUAAAGUCUUGUAUUUAAUUUGGGGUCGGGAAAGCACCGGGAAAUAAAUGUAACAAAGGAAAAAAAAAAAAAAAAGAAUGACAGUCUGAGUGGAGCCAACACGGUUUUGAAAAAAGUGCAAAAAAGGGUUUAAAAAAAAAAAACGCGGUUUGUAAAGGAAAUAAAAGCUUUUCAUUGAAUUAAGACCACUACACUCAAAUACUCUAUUAUCACCAACGAGGUCGUGGUCUAGUGGUGCCAGGGGCUAGGCUUGGUAGGGCGAACUACGGUUCGAUCCCCCGCACGCACGUUGGGAGGAGUUUAAAACCUUAACCCCGGGACGCGCUCCGAAACCGGAUUAGUCGGCCCGAUGGGUUCGGAUACCGGUUGGUUAGCACCAAAAAAAAAAAAAAAAAAUACUCUAUUAUCGUUUGUUUGCUUGCUUGUGGAAAUAAAAGUCUCAUGUUUCUUUGAAAGGUAAGCAAGUGUGAGUGUUUCUAUCUAGAGCUGGAAAAUGCAUUUCCGUGCAACUUACUUGAUGAAUGAAGUUUUCAUCUCUGACCUUGAUGUUUCCCUGAGCUGCAUUCGUUGCAGCUGAUGUAUUUCAUUUUGUUUUCGAAGGAGUGACACAAAAUCUCCUUUGUUAAGGUGAGAAUUUAGAGUGGCUUUAACUGUUAACAAAUAGCCUAAUGUAAGACUUAAUCAACUUCCUGCCCUGUUGUAUGCUUAUGAAUUUUGAUAGAGUUAUGAGUUUGCAGAAGCUACUGUAUUAUAUGUUGAUAGAGGCUGUAAAAAUGAGGCAGAUCAAACACACGUUUAAAUUUCAGUGACAAUUUACUGGAAGUAAAUUUCCUAUGACCCUACAUGUGACUAAUUGAUGAGAAGUUGACAAAUGACAAAAGAAAUUGUACGAGCUUUGCAGGCUGGCAUGCCGAUAUUGACUGCAUGGCACCAUCCGCCAUUUGGAAGUGAAUAUCAUUAUUCUUUAAUCAACAUGGUGGAGUCCACUGGGACCACACCACAUGGUCAGUCAUAUCUCUAUUCCUCAAUUUUCAGUAUUCCAUACAUCAAAACAAUUUCAGUUUUGUUAUCAAUUAUAAUUUCAUUGUUGGUGACGAUUCUGAUUCCUUUCUUUCUGACAAAACGGAACCAUGUUUGCUGUGGGAGAGAUCUUACUCAACGCCUUCUUUCAGGUGUUGUUCGACAGGUUGGCUUCCCGCGAUUUGCUCAGCUUUGUCCGUCAACUUGGAGGCGGGGUCGAUUCCGAGCUCAAGAAGUGGGAAAGAAAGCUGAAGAUGAUUCAGGCGGUGCUCAACGAUGCAGAGGAGAAGCAACUGACUGACGAGGCUGUGAAGACGUGGCUGGACGAUCUCCAAGACUUGGCUUAUGACGCUGAGGACAUUCUUGAUGAGUUUGCUACUCAAGCUUUGGAAAGCAAGUUGAUGGCGCAAAAUCAGGAUAGCUCUGGCCAGCUUCUCAGUUUCAUCCCGGUUAGUUUGAAUCCGAAUGCUGUUAGGUUCAAUUAUGGCAUGAGGUCCAAGAUUAACGAUAUUACCAGCCGGUUGGAGCAACACUGCAAAGAUAGAAUUGAACUUGGGCUGCAACGGAUUCCUGAAGGGGCAUCAUCAACUGCUGCUGCUGCACACCAGAGGCCACCCAGUUCAAGCGUCCCACCAGAACGUGAAGUUUUUGGUAGAGAAGAAGAUAAGGCCAAAAUUCUUGAUAUGGUAUUGGCCGAUAGCCCAAGUGAUCUUGCCAACUUUGUUGUAAUACCCAUUGUUGGCAUGGGCGGGAUAGGAAAAACAACUCUCGCUCGGGAGGUUUACAAUGACAAGGCCGUUGGAGAUUCCAAGUUUGAUGUAAAAGCAUGGGUUUGUGUAUCUGAUGUCUUUGACGUUUUGGGCAUCUCAAAGGCGCUUCUCGAGUCAAUCACCCGCAGGCCAUGUCUUCUAAACAGUUUAAACGAAGUGCAGGUUGAAUUGAAAGUAGCUGUGGAUAAAAAAAGAUUCUUGCUGGUCUUAGAUGAUGUUUGGAACGAGGACUACAGCUUGUGGGUAGACUUAAAAGCUCCGUUCCUGGGUGCUGCACCAAACAGCAAGAUGAUCGUCACCACACGCAAUUCAAGUGUUGCAUCAACAAUGAGACCCAUUGAUCGUCACCGCAAGCAAUUCAAGUAUUACGAUCUCAAGAGUCUGUUAGAUGAUGAUUGCUGGUCCAUUUUCAUAAACAAUGCAUUUGAAUCUACAGACCUUAGCGCACAUCGAAUUUCAGAAUCGUUCCGCGAGAAAGUUGUUGGCAAGUGUGGGGGCUUGCCUCUGGCAGCAAAAACACUCGGGGGCCUUCUUCGUACUAAAACGCAUGCUGAGUGGGACGGUAUAUUGGAUAGCAAAAUAUGGGAUUUACCUCGGCAAAGCAGCAUUCUUCCCGUGUUAAGAUUGAGUUACCAUCAUCUUCCUUCUCAUUUGAAAAGAUGUUUUGCUUUUUGUGCCAUCUUUCCAAAAGAUUAUGCAUUCACUGAGAGGGAGCUGACUUUCUUAUGGAUGGCUGGAGGUAUUAUUCGACAGUCAAGAAACAAUGAGCAGCUCGAAGAUUUGGGCAGCAAGUGCUUUGGUGAUCUAGUGUCGAGGUCAAUUUUUCAACAAACAGCAAUCUCUGAUAGUUCUAAAUUUGUAAUGCACGACCUUAUCCAUGAUCUUGCUGAAUUGGUCUCUGGAGAAACCAUAUUUAGGUUAGAGGAGGCCAAUACUCUGUCAAGAAGUUUUGAAAGGGUUCGCCAUUCUUCCUAUGCUUGUGGUGAAUAUGAUGGUAAAAAUAUGUUCGAGGUUUUCAAUGAAAUUGAACAUCUACGAACAUUCUUGCCAUUACGCUUACGCAUACGAGGUACUUUUUACAUAACUAGAACGGUUCUAUCCGAUUUGCUGCCAAAGUUCAAAAAAUUGAGGAUGCUAUCUUUAGAAGGAUACUGUAUUGGUGAGUUACCGAUUCCAUUUGAAGAUUUGAGACUUUUAAGGUUUCUCAACCUUGCUGACACUGACAUAAGAAGUUUACCCGAGUCAACAUGCAAAUUGCUGAACUUGGAAAUUUUGAUAUUAAGAAAUUGUUCCCUUUUGAUAAAGCUUCCACCCAAAAUGAGGAAUUUGAUCAAUUUACGCCAUUUGGAUUUAAGAGGUGCGAAGUUGCUGAAGGAGAUGCCAGUCGGAAUGAAAGAGCUGAAGAAGCUUCAAACAUUGUAUAAUUUCAUUGUGGGCAAGGGUGAAACUGCAUCCGGUUUGGAAGAUUUAAAAAGUUUAAACUUUCUUUGUGAUGAACUUUGCAUUGUUGGAUUAGAGAAUGUGAAUAAUCCACAGAAUGCAAGAGAAGCCGCAUUAUGCGAGAAGCGCAAUCUUGAAGCAUUGACCCUAGAUUGGGGGUCUCAAUUUGACAAUUCUCGAGAUGGAGUAGUAGAAGAGGAUGUACUGGAAAUUCUACAGCCUCAUAAAUGUAUUAAAAAGGUGGCAAUCAGGAACUAUGGUGGUGCAAGAUUUCCACAUUGGAUAGGAGAUCCUUUGUUCUCCAAAAUAGAGUUCCUUGAAUUGGAGAACUGUGACAAUUGUGCAUCUUUGCCAUCGCUUGGCCGUUUGAGGUCCAAGAUUAACGAUAUUACUAGCCGGUUGGAGCAACUCUGCCAAGAAAGAAUUGAACUUGGACUGCAACGGAUUACCGGAGAGGCAUCAUCAACUGCUGCUGCUGCACACCUGAGGCCACCCAGUUCGAGUGUCCCAACAGAACGUGAAGUAUUUGGAAGAGAAGAAGAUAAGGCCAAAAUUCUUGAUAUGGUAUUGGCCGAUGCCCCAAGUGAUCAUGCCAACUUUGUUGUAAUACCCAUUGUUGGCAUGGGCGGAAUCGGAAAAACAACUCUCGCUCGGGAGGUUUACAAUGACAAAGCCGUUGGAGGUUCCAAGUUUGAUGUAAAAGCAUGGGUUUGUGUAUCUGAUGUCUUUGACGUUUUGGGCAUCUCAAAGGCGCUUCUCGAGUCAAUCACCCGCAGGCCUUGUCUUCUAAACAGUUUAAACGAAGUGCAGGUUGAAUUGAAAGUAGCUGUGGAUAAAAAAAGAUUCUUGCUGGUCUUAGAUGAUGUUUGGAACGAGGAGUACAGCUUGUGGGUAGACUUAAAAGCUCCGUUCCUGGCUGCUGCACCAAACAGUAAGAUGAUCGUCACCACACGCAAUUCAAAUGUUGCAUCAACAAUGGGGCCAGUUGAACAUUACAAUCUCAGGAGUCUAUCAGAUGAUGAUUGCUGGUCCAUUUUCAUAAAGCAUGCAUUUGAAUCUAGAGAUCUUAACGCACAUCAAAUUUCAGAAUCAUUCCGCAAGAAAGUUGUUGCCAAGUGUGGAGGCUUGGCCCUGGCAGCAAAAACACUCGGAGGCCUUCUGCGUACGACGAGGCAUGAUGCGUGGGAUGAUAUAUUAGAGAGCAAAAUAUGGGAUUUACCUCGACAAAGUGGGGUUCUCCCAGUAUUAAGAUUGAGUUACCAUCAUCUUCCUUCUCAUUUGAAAAGAUGUUUUGCUUUUUGUGCCAUCUUUCCAAAAGAUUAUGAAUUCACUGAGAAGGAGCUGACUUUCUUAUGGAUGGCUGGAGGUAUUAUUCGACAGUCAAGAAACAAUGAGCAGCUGGAAGAUUUGGGCAGCCAGUGCUUUGGUGAUCUAGUGUCGAGGUCAAUUUUUCAACAAACAACAAUCUCUGAUAGUUCUAAAUUUGUAAUGCAUGACCUUAUUCAUGAUCUUGCUGAAUUGGUCUCUGGAGGGACCAUUUUUAGGUUAGAGAAGUCCCCCAACUUGUCGUCAAGCGGAUUUGAAAGAGUUCGCCAUUCUUCCUAUGCCGGCGGUUUGCAUGAUGGUAAAAAUAAGUUUGAGGUUUUCUAUGAAAUUGAACAUCUACGAACAUUCUUGCCAUUACGCUUACGCAUACGAGGUACUUUUUACAUAACUAGAACGGUUCUAUCCGAUUUGCUGCCAAAGUUCAAAAAAUUGAGGAUGCUAUCUUUAGAAGGAUACUGUAUUGGUGAGUUACCGAUUCCAUUUGAAGAUUUGAGACUUUUAAGGUUUCUCAACCUUGCUGACACUGACAUAAGAAGUUUACCCGAGUCAACAUGCAAAUUGCUGAACUUGGAAAUUUUGAUAUUAAGAAAUUGUUCCCGCUUGAUAAAGCUUCCACCCAAAAUGAGGAAUUUGAUCAAUUUACGCCAUCUCGAUAUAAGAGGUGCGGAGUUGCUGAAGGAGAUGCCAUUCGGAAUGAAAGAGCUGAAGAAGCUUCAAAUAUUGUACAAUUUCAUUGUAGGCAAGGGUGAAACUGCAUGCGGUUUGGAAGAAUUAAAAAGUUUAAACUUUCUUUGUGAUGAACUUUGCAUUGCUGGAUUAGAGAAUGUGAAUAAUCCACAGAAUGCAAGAGAAGCCGCAUUAUGCGAGAAGCACAAUCUUGAAGCAUUGACUCUAGAAUGGGGGUCUCAAUCUGACAGUCCUCGGGAUGCAGUACUAGAAGAGAAUGUACUUGACACUCUACAGCCUCAUAAACGUAUAAAAGAGCUGGCAAUCAGGCACUAUGGUGGUGCAAGAUUUUCACUUUGGAUCGGAGAUCCUUCGUUCUCCGAGAUGAAGGUCCUUAAAUUGGAGAACUGUGACAAUUGUGUAUCUCUGCCAUCGCUUGGCCUGUUGAGUUCACUUAAGCACCUUGCUGUUAAAGGGCUGAAGAAACUAAAAAGCAUAGAGUCUGAGGUUUAUGGGGAGGGUUUCUCGAUGCCUUUUCCAUCAUUGGGGAUUCUAAGUUUCGAGAAUUUGCCAGAAUGGGAGCAUUGGGACACCGAGAUCAAAGGAAAUGCGCCUGUUGAUAUAUUUCCUCGUCUCCAAGAACUUUCCAUUGCAGAAUGUCCCAAACUCUCUGGACAACUGCCUGAGCUCCUGCCUUCCUUGGAGACACUUGUUGUUAGUAAAUGUGAAAAGUUAGUAGUUCCAUUGUCAAGUUAUCCGAUGCUCUGCAGAUUAGAAGUUGAUGAGUGCAAGGAGCUAGUGUGCGGGACUCUAAUUGAUUUUAAGUUGAUAAAGUCCAUGACUAUUUCAAAUAGUUCAUUAGACAUGAAUGGACGCAAGGGGAUGCUAUACGAUGGUCUAGCUGGCUCUUCACUUCCAAAGCCCAUGACUACUACAAAUGUUUUGGAGUUUGGAAAAUUAUUGAAGCCUGGAUUUCAGAUAUUAGAAAUUUUGGUAAUUGGCAAUUCUGAACAGCUCAAGUCAUGGAGGCAGCAUGGAGAUUGGAGUACUUCGAUUAAACCAGUACAAGGGCUGAAUAUGCUCGCUCACAAUGAGGAGGUAUCAAUUGAAGAAAGUUGCGUUCGUCUUGUUUUGUUUCCAGAGAUCAAUUUCUUUCCCAGAAAUCUGCGCUCUCUUCUAAUUAACAACAACACUGCUUUCAAAUCCUUACCCGAGGAAAUGAUGGAAAACAAUUCACAACUCGAAAGGUUGUAUAUCAAGGAUUGCGACUCUCUAACAUUCAUCGCAAGACGGAGGCUACCAGCAUCUCUUAAAAGGCUUGAGAUAGAAAAUUGUGAGAAAUUGCAACGUCUGUUCGAUGAUGAAGAGGAUGCUUCUUCUUCUUCUCGUGCAUCCUCGUCUUCCCCAGUGAUGCUGCAACACCUGAUUAUAGAGAACUGCCCAGAGCUCACCAGUUUAUCAUCGGGUGUCCAAUUCCUUGAGGCGCUUGAAUACCUCGAGAUACGGGAUUGUCCAAAGCUGGAGUCAAUACCGGAUGGCCUGCACAAUCUUAAAUGUUUACAGAGCAUUUAUAUACGGAAAUGUCCAAGUCUUGUUUCCUUCCCAGAAAGAGGGCUUCCCAACACGAUUUCAAGGGUUGACAUUUGCAGCUGUGACAAGCUCGAAGCCUUGCCCAAUGAUUUGCACAAACUCAACUCUCUUCGAGGUUUAAGCAUCCAGAUCUGUCCAAAUCUUGUAUCGUUUCCAGAAGAAGGUUUUCCUACCAAUCUAACAUCACUUACAAUUGGAUAUUUCAAAAUGUAUAAGACACUCGUCCAGUGGGGGUUGCACAGGCUUACCUCUCUUAGAGACCUCUGGAUCGUUGAAUGUGAUGAUGAAGCAGAGUGUUUUCCAGACGAGGAGAUAGGAAUGACGCUGCCUGCCUCUCUCACUCAUCUGCAUCUUGAUGGAUUCCAAAAUUUGAUAUCUCUGUCUUCGACGGGUUUUCAGAGCCUAACCUCUCUUCAAUCUUUGUGGAUCUGGGAUUGCCCAAAUCUCACAUCAUUUCCAGAGGUGGGCCUUCCAUCCUCACUUUUGGAAUUACACAUUAGAGAUUGUCCAAAGCUUAAAAAAGCGUGCAAAAGGGAUCAAGGAAAAGAGUUGCCCAAAAUUGCUCACAUCCCUUGCGUUGAGAUAGACGGUAAAUUCAUAUACGAUCCAGAAUCAGAGGAGUAGAUUCUAUUACAAAGGUCAGUUGAUUUGUAUUAUCCGCUAUAACAAGCUCCUCCUAAUUUUUUUUUUCUAAGUAAUAAUUUUGCAGUCACUCACGUGAUUCCGUUUUCACAAGUCAGAUUGUAUGUUGAGGCUAUUUGCCUUUUAAUCGCAGAUUAAAUUAUAACACUUAUCUUAAAAUUUAAUACCAUACACAGAUAGACGAUUUUUUUAUCCAAAGUUUCAAUCAAGAAUUGGAGGAUGUGAAUGGGAUUUUUGUGAAAACAUAAUGGAUGAACGAACAUUUCAUCUGUGAUCUCAAAGUCAACAGAAUUUUAUUUACUCGUUGACUUUUCAACUCCUUGGUUGUUGCUGGGUGAAAGAUAAGGGCAAUUACAAGAUAUUUGCAAACUUUGUCAAUUUCUUAGAUGGUAGAUAUAUCGACAUUUUAGAUUUCAGAUAUUUUGAUGCUUUUUUAAUUUUGAUCUAGUAGAAAUACAUAGCCUUCACCGACAGGAAUUGAAAUUGAAAUUUUUGUCUUCAAUGGGUUUUCAAAGCCUCGCCUCUCUUCGAUUUUUGUGGAUCGGGAAUUGCACAAAUCUCACAUCAUUUCCCGAGGUCGAGGAAAAGAGCGGCCCAAACUUGCUCGCAUCCCUUGGGUUAAUAGAUUCUCUUAUUAAGGUCAGCUGAUUUCUAUUAUCCACUCUGACAAUCUCCUAUUAGUGUUUUUCCUUUUGAAAUUUUUUUUCUAAAAUUUUGCAGUUCCGUAUAAUUGAAAAUGCCACUCACUUGUUUCCUAUUAGUAUGUUGAGGCUAUUUGCUUCCUAUUAGUGUUUGUUAAGGUAAUUAGUGCUCCCUCGUCGGUAUGACUGGAUUUUUUUCACUUCCGUAAAUAUUGCAUUUUAGACUGGCAAAUUUAGCAGUAAUUUUAAUUUGAUACUCUGAUUAAGAAGCCUGAUUAUAGUAGCUGACUUUUUUUGUGUGGUUUGCUGUUGUUUAUUCUUUCGAUUAAUUUCAACAUUAGGUUGAUCUGUUGAAGAACAAACUUGGGUUUGAUUAUGCUUUAACUACAAGGAAGAGCCAGACUUGGAUGCAGGCGUUCGGCUUUUAAUGGGUAAGAACAAAUGUAUGCUUUAACCAUGUUUCUCACUUAUUACAAUGCACGCAUUGAAGGCAUCUGAGCUGAUCCUGAAAAUGUGGUGGAAAUACUUCUCUGUUUACAUAAAAUAGACAAAUAGAGAUCUCUGAUCAUGCCUGAGAAUUCGUUGCAUUUCAAAUUUCUACCAUUGCCAAAAAUAGAAUAAACUAGGGAUACAUUAGCUUAAGACUCAAUUUUGAGAAGGAAGUUUGCACAUGCAGCCUAAAAAAUCAUGUCCGUGUUGUAUACUUGUAUGUUUCUUUGGGAAAUGAAAGAUUCUGUAUGUUCUUUUAUUUCAAGUUUGCUGAAAUCACAUUUGUUUUCGUAGAUGCUUUUGGGAAGGUAACAAGAUCAAUUUCAUAAAUGCUGGGGUAAGAUGCAUCACGCAGUGCUACUCAACAUGAGAAUUCCCGGCCGCAUUAACUGUAUGUUGAGUGAUCGCACAGUACAACCUUUAGAAGCUUGUAAGGAGUAGACAACUAGAUGCGAAUAGUUUCAAUAUGGAUUCACAUCAAAUGAUCUCUUGCCAGUGAUUACUAUAACCUCUAUCCCAAAAUUCUUGGAACUGGUCAUACCAAUAAUGAAGUAUUGUGUAUGUUGAAGACAUAGCUCAAGGCCUUGCGAAAGCUCCGUCAGCCUUUGUAUUGGAAAACAAUUGGUUGUAGUUGCUUCUGAAUGAUAUUAUUAAUAGA